CGCGUGGAGCCGACCACCCUCCCGGGACGCCCGGUUGGGCACAGCGGCUCUCAGCACCGCUGUGCCGCUGCUUGGCCUUGCUGCGGGGGGUAAGCGCUGAGCUCUGGCAGGAGCGGUGCGCGACACCGUGCCUCAGGAAGAGGACUCUGCUGAGCGUGGCCUGCAGCCUGAAUUUACCAGCAAUCUGCAACAGAGGGUCUGCAACGAAAGGCCUAAAGCCUCUUCCACGUGUCUAGGUUACUGGCUUGUAGCAGACCUCGGGCAGAACCUGAGGGUCUGAGAGCACAGUGUCCUUAAGCAGAGUGCAGGCCGCAAGCAGCGGGCGCAGGGAUUACAGAAGCACGGAGUUGCACAGAGUGGUUGAUGUGGGAAAGGACCUCUGGAGAUCAUCUAGUCCACCCCCCCUGCUCAAGCAGGGUCACCUAGAACACGGUGCACAGGAUUAUAUUCAGGUGGGUUUUGAAUAUCUCUAGAGAAGAAGAUUCCACAACUUCUCUGGGCAACGUAUAAUACUGGUGACUUGCCUAAAAUGCCAGUUUACUGAAGUUUAUCAAGCUACUUGAGAUUCUUGUAUGAAGAGCGGAGGUGCUAGAAGUGCUUCUUGUGCUGCUUGCUUUUCUUUCUAGAAAUGCAUGUGCUUCUUCACUAGAAAAUGAAUGACUGGGCCCCCAUAGCCAAAGAGUAUGACCCCCUCAAAGCCGGGAGCAUUGAUGGCACGGAUGAAGAGCCCCACGACCGUGCCAUAUGGAGGGCUAUGCUGGCACGGUAUGUACCCAACAAGGGAGUUACAGGAGAUCCUCACCUCACCCUGUUUGUAGCAAGGCUGAAUCUUCAAACAACAGAAGAGAAGCUGAAGGAAGUUUUUUCCCGAUACGGAGAUAUAAGAAAGAUCCGGCUGGUUAGAGACUUGGUUACAGGAUUUUCCAAGGGUUAUGCGUUUAUUGAGUACAAAGAGGAGCGUGCUCUGUUGAAGGCCCACAGGGAUGCCAACAGGCUGGUUAUUGACCAACAUGAAAUCUUUGUGGACUUUGAAUUGGAAAGAACUCUCAAAGGGUGGAUUCCUCGGAGGCUUGGAGGUGGUUUUGGAGGCAAAAAAGAAUCUGGCCAGCUACGAUUUGGAGGACGGGACAGACCUUUCCGAAAGCCCAUCAAUUUGCCAACCAUGAAAAAUGAUUUCUAUGGAGAAGGAUCAGGAGAGAAAAGAAACUGGUCUCGUGAAGGAACAAGGGACUGGAGAACAAGGGAUCGAGACCAUGAAAGGAGCAGAGACAAGAGAUGGCCAGAAAGGGAGCGGUCAUGGGCUUGGGGUGAAAGUGAGAGAGAGAGGGACUCCAAAGAGGACAGGAGCAGAGGGAGAGAGAGGAAGGACAGAGACAGGAAAGACAGAGAUAGAGACCGGAGCAGGGAAAGAGAUACCAAGAAACAAAGAGAUGAUGAUAAACAUCGAUAGGUGAAGGUGCCUUCUCUGUAAUUAUGGGAAAUUUGGGUAUGGUGUCUACUGCCAUCUUUCUCUCAAAUAGCAUGAACCAAGUCUUGCUGCUCCAACAACUGGCACAUUUUGGUCCAGGUUGGGACUGACUGCUGCUGUCACAGUAAAUUAACUGGUAUGGAGGGGGUGGGAUACAGCAGGCUUCCAGCCUCAGUCUUUGGAUAAAGCUGGCAUACAUCCUUCUGGAGAUCAUGGAUAGGAUUAAGUUGUAGAGGUUGUCUUCACCUUUGGGCCGUGACUUGCAUUCACUGAGAAGCAGCUGCAAUGUUACUGUCCUGUGCCUGUGACUAUAAUCUGCUAUAAGCUUUGUAGUUUUGUUUCUAAUACAGUUAAGAUACUUGGUUUUGAGUUUUUCUUCAGAGAAAUUAAACAUUUCUGUUAAUAUUCUGAACCAGCGAAUGCUAUAAGAAGUGCACAGCGUGUACUGGCACUCAGUGAAAUUGAGUACACACCUCAUUUGAUACCCGACUGGCUGCUGGGAGUAGGGUUCAUGAGUGCGCUCCGUCCUUAAUUGUGCGCCAGAUGUCCACACUCAUUUUGCAGAACAAAUGACCUCUAUGAAGUCACUUGUUGAAGAAAUAGCAAGGAAAUAGCAAGGAUAGGAACAAACUAAGCUUCUUAUAAAUGUGGCCCCUAACAAAAGAUGAUGGGAAGUGACUUACUUUUCUGAAGACAGUGGAACAGAAAGAUCAUUUGGGCCUAGAGAGAAGAUAGGAGUGUCAUGCUGCUGCUCUCUGUUGUUUAAGGAUUUGUUUGUGUGGUGAAAGCCUACCGGAAGAUGACGAUGUCUUUUCCGCUGUAGGGACUGAGCUGUGUAAUUCAAGCUCUUCUUAAAUGGGUAGAAACCACAAGAGAAGUGAUUCAUAUAUUUUCUUUUAGACACAACUUUUUUUUUUUCUUUUUAUAUGCUUCUAUCCUAAACAUUGCCAAGUUUGAAGCCCUAUUUCCAUGAAGAGCUGUGUGAGCUUUUUUCAGUGGAGAAGACAGACCCCUAAACUGCGUUCCCAACAGUAGACAGCAAUAGGAGGACACAAAGAACACAAAUCUUCAGAAAUACUUGUAUUUCAGAAAUAUUUAUUAAACUAUUAAAAUGAUUUACUACCCCCUCCAAAAAACAAAAACAAAACAAACCCAAAAAGACUUAAGUGAACCUGCACUCUGUAUGCAGGAUUGCUAUGCCCUUUACCUGACAACAUCCUGGCCCCUUUUUUUAAAAAAAAACAGGUUUUACUUGAAUACUGAGAAACUACAUGACAGAUCUUCAACUCUUUACAUAUUCUUCCCUACAUGGCAUCCUUUUUGAUUGCCACUUGGAGUGUAUGAACUCAGCAUUUCUAACAAAAAAAUGAAGGAUGGUUAUGUUAGUAGGUCAGGAGUAACUCUUCAUAUUUUUGAGGUAAUGGGGUACAGAUAGGAAUGGGGGAAGGUUGUACUGCUUAGUGCCAGUAGAACUUGCAGAACUUGGCUGCAAAUUUGACCUAACGAUAGUGCAUUGGAUCCUAGCCUGUGGGACUAGCUUUACAUGCACUAACUAGGUCUGGAGACUUCCUUUUUAAUACAUGAGCUUAUAUGCUAGGGGAGAAAAUGUUCAGUCUGUGUAUUUCUAUUAUUUCAGUCCAUGGCUCUUAGCUGAUGUGAAAAGUGAUGUGCUUAUUCAGGCUGUGAAUGUGCUGCGUUCUUGCAUUGUUUCCUAUUGCUAUAUCUCUUGUAAAUGUGCCCAACGACUGUAAACUAUGCUAGGGAGACACUCAACAGGCUGCAUUCAUGUGGUGUGAUUCUUCCAUCAAAUUCUGUAUAAAAUCAUGAUUUUUUUUUUAACAGCAACAAUGAUCCAUUUCUGUUUCUAGCUCCCACUCAAACAUUAUGUCUGUACAAGAACACAUCAAGAGAUGUUCAGUGGCUUUGAGGAGGUACGUUAAACUUUGCUCAUGGCUAAAGAACAAAAGUGUUAGACUAAUACGUACUCAAGAACUGCAGAACAGUUGUAACUUAUUUUAUCUGCCUGAUACAAAUGUAGUGUACUUGUUUCCUUUUUUUCCCUUUUCCCCAAUCUGUAAAAGAAACUGGGAUCUUAGCAACUUACAUAUCAUUAAAUUAAGACUCCUCCUAUUUAAGAAUUGCUUUUCACAUAAAAGGAGGAAUGCUGCCAUUUUAUGAAUACAGCUCUCUGUAAGCGUUAACAAAAUUUAACUGGCUUAGAGAUGCAAAAGUGUCCCUACUAGUGUCAUACAUUAGUGUCGGACAUUAUUGUCAGUAUUUCACAUGUAGAUGCCUUUCAUAUAAGGCCAUCCCCUCCCUCCUUUCCCCUUCUCCCAAAAUGCAGUGACAACUUGAAGGGCCGGUGAAUGCUUUUUUUAAUAUUGGAGUUGUAUGUAAGUAAGUUCUGCAGCAGCAGUUUCUCAUGAAAGUGCUAAGGUAUAUUCCCAACCAUGCUUUGAACUGCUGCGAAUGGUCUGCUGACUGGAGACUAAAUGAAACUGAUAUUUAAAAAGACUGUAGCCUGUUGGGGAGAGGGAGAAAAUACUUGAGAAGUACCUGGAGCAUGCUGAAGUUCAAGGUUCAAAAUAUAGUACAGUUACAGGAUGGAAUAGAGCAGCCUUUGGCCCACCAUUGCAAAAAUGGUUUCUUAGCACAGUUUCACUAUGGACAGAUUAAAAUUGUUCCCUGCCCAUACAUGUUAGAUAACCCAUAAUGGGACAUAGAAACUGAAAAUUAAAAACAGAAAAUAAACACCUUGUAUUAAACCCUUUGACUUGCUGUCAUCUAGGAGUCUUUACAGCCAUCCUCAGGCAUUUAGCACCCAGAGUAGUUGGAGCUUUUGUUUGAGCACUGGCUCCUGUUUAGUGCCGCUCCUGAGAGCAGCCUCUUUUCAGAGCAGAUCUGGCUGCUGGGGAUUAAGAUGCCAACAGCAGCCCAUAGCUGUCUGAACUAAGCUACAUUAGCAGAAGUUGCCUAGGACCUUGUCGUAACUAGAGAUACUGCUCACAAGCAGCGCUGUGCUCCAGUGCAGGUCUCAAGCGUACAGCCACGUCCAUAGAAAGACCUCGGUGCCUCCUUUGUGAAGAAGUGGGUGUACUUGCUCUCUCCUGCCUGAGCAGAGCUUGCUUAGUGUGCUUUUGAGGAGUGCAGGGUGCAUCUAUGUUGCAUGGGGCUUUGUUGUUACAUUUUUUAUAAGAAUGACAUCAACCAGUCCCAAUGGUUUCACAAACUUAAUUGGAAAGCAGGUCUAAAACUCACCUUCUGACAGCUGGUUGUGUUCAUGUGCUGGCACUGUUGGCCCAUUAAGCCCGCCCAUAACUGCAGGCUACCUAAACCUCAGCUGACACCAGUAAAGCAGCUUGCACGUGUAGAAUUCAUCCAUUCUACAACCCCAAAUAGUGUUUAGACUAGUGAAAGGAAAAGUUUGGGCUGGGGCCAUCCCUAAGUCAGUUAAAACAGUUCAUGUCAGCUAGCUGAGGAGGUCGUCUCACCCUGAAAUUAGGCAGUCUUCAUCUAGAAAGGAAAAUGGAGUGUGACAUUAUUCAAAACCUGUCUAUGGGAAGGGGAGCUAAUUCCUUUAGCGCAGCUGUUUGCUGCUCUAGGGGGAAGACCUUCGUAAGAAGGAAAAAAAUUGAGUGUUAGAAAUCCUCUUUGCGAACAAUUAAUUUUCCAUUAGUACUGUAGAACUCAUGGCAAAAUGCAAGGCACGCUCACCUCAUACAUCGGUUUCUUCAUGCUUUAGGCACUAUAUGCAGCAAGAGAAAUGUAUUCACUAUCCCUCUCAAGGCUAUUCCAGCUUCUCAGUUUGUAUCAGGUGGAUUUCCAAGUGCAAGACUGCAAGAUGCAGAUGCUAGCUGAACUUGGCAAGAUAUAGCAGUGCUAGACCUGCCAUGGAGCCGUGGUAUCUCUCUCGAAAAAAAAUCUUACAGAAUUAAGAAAAAGCAAACAAUCAAAAGUUUUAACAAACAGCAUAAGAGAGUCUUUUCCAAUAGAUAUUGUACACUGCAAACAAUCUUCUAAUAAUAGCACAGGUCUUUUUUUUUUUUGGUUUAAAGAAGCUUGUGUUACUGUAGUUAAUGCAUGAGCAAGACCAUAGACUUGUUGUUCAGCACAAAACAAGUCAUCUAGAAGCUUCAAUAUCCCAAGGUAUCAGUGACUGUUAUUACAAAGCUUGGAUUCUGUUUUUGGCAAACAGUCACCAAAUAAACAGUGAGGGAUCCCUUUUGAAGAGUACAUCUGAAACACAACCACUGAGGUGUGCAAGGCAAAUAAAAGUGAUGAACUGCCAGA
This is an RNA transcript of Rhea pennata, 5758 nucleotides long. It is a transcript of the gene named small nuclear ribonucleoprotein U11/U12 subunit 35, with no coding region annotated. The record is from RefSeq and is a predicted model, not a curated record. The transcript is spliced from 2 exons. NCBI's taxonomy places the organism in Eukaryota, Metazoa, Chordata, Aves, Rheiformes, Rheidae.